GUGGGGAAUAUUGGACAAUGGGCGAAAGCCUGAUCCAGCCAUGCCGCGUGUGUGAAGAAGGUCUUCGGAUUGUAAAGCACUUUAAGUUGGGAGGAAGGGCAGUAAGUUAAUACCUUGCUGUUUUGACGUUACCGACAGAAUAAGCACCGGCUAACUUCGUGUCAGCAGCCGCGGUAAUACGAAGGGUGCAAGCGUUAAUCGGAAUUACUGGGCGUAAAGCGCACGUAGGUGGUUUUGUAAGUUGGAGGUGAAAUCCCCGGGCUCAACCUGUGAACUGCCUCCAAAACUGCAUGACUAGAGUACGGUAGAGGGUAGUGGAAUUUCCUGUGUAGCGGUGAAAUGCGUAGAUAUAGGAAGGAACACCAGUGGCGAAGGCGACUACCUGGACUGAUACUGACACUGAGGUGCGAAAGCGUGGGGAGCAAACAGGAUUAGAUACCCUUGUAGUCC
RNAcentral lists this ribosomal RNA (450 nucleotides) under uncultured bacterium. RNAcentral describes it as "partial 16S ribosomal RNA". It matches the Rfam family "Bacterial small subunit ribosomal RNA", at positions 354 to 796 of the family's 1533-position model. The record is from RNAcentral.